CCGUAGGUGAACCUGCGGAGGGAUCAUUG
Molecule: ribosomal RNA, 29 nt
Filed under: Calophyllum longifolium
Lineage: Eukaryota; Viridiplantae; Streptophyta; Magnoliopsida; Malpighiales; Calophyllaceae
Also listed under: 3 other names
Description: partial 18S ribosomal RNA
Source: RNAcentral